This 468-nucleotide ribosomal RNA is filed under the name uncultured bacterium. Its description in RNAcentral is "partial 16S ribosomal RNA". It matches the Rfam family "Bacterial small subunit ribosomal RNA", at positions 28 to 507 of the family's 1533-position model. The record is from RNAcentral.
GACGAACGCUGGCGGCGUGCUUAACACAUGCAAGUCGAACGGAAAGGCCCUGCGUUUGUGGGGUGCUCGAGUGGCGAACGGGUGAGUAACCCGUGAGUAACCUGCCCUUGACUUUGGGAUAACUUCAGGAAACUGGGGCUAAUACCGGAUAGGAGCUCCUGCUGCAUGGUGGGGGUUGGAAAGUUUCGGCGGUUGGGGAUGGACUCGCGGCUUAUCAGCUUGUUGGUGGGGUAGUGGCUUACCAAGGCUUCGACGGGUAGCCGGCCUGAGAGGGUGACCGGCCACAUUGGGACUGAGAUACGGCCCAGACUCCUACGGGAGGCAGCAGUGGGGAAUAUUGCACAAUGGGCGGAAGCCUGAUGCAGCAACGCCGCGUGCGGGAUGACGGCCUUCGGGUUGUAAACCGCUUUCGCCUGUGACGAAGCGUGAGUGACGGUAAUGGGUAAAGAAGCACCGGCUAACUACGUG